Molecule: long non-coding RNA, 335 nt
Filed under: Bos mutus (wild yak)
Lineage: Eukaryota; Metazoa; Chordata; Mammalia; Artiodactyla; Bovidae
Description: lncRNA (ENSBMUG00000026837.1)
Source: RNAcentral
UCCCAAGUAUGAGUGUCCUUCAGACAAGAAACAGAGCCCUACUCGUGAGGUGGUGACUCGAGGUGCUAAGGAGUCCGGUGAGAAGUGUGGCGGGCCCAGGUUGCUGCCACUGCUUUUUGGAUCACCUGGAGACACCCAGAAGGAGUUUCCGAGGCAGCCCUAAAGUGCCGAGAGUGCAUCCUUUUUGGUGAAGUUGCCAGGCAUGACUGUCCGUCACCCAGGAGACGAAGCCCCGCCAAUGAGGUGGUGAAUCGAGGUGCAGGGGAGUCUGACGAGAAAUGUGGUGGGCCCAGGUUGCUGCCAGUUCUUUUGGAAUCACCAAGCACAUGGUACGC